This 416-nucleotide ribosomal RNA is filed under the name Arthrobacter sp. RNAcentral describes it as "bacterial SSU rRNA". It matches the Rfam family "Bacterial small subunit ribosomal RNA", at positions 22 to 438 of the family's 1533-position model. Lineage: Bacteria; Bacillati; Actinomycetota; Actinomycetes; Micrococcales; Micrococcaceae. The record is from RNAcentral.
GCUCAGGAUGAACGCUGGCGGCGUGCUUAACACAUGCAAGUCGAACGAUGAUGCCCACUUGUGGGUGGAUUAGUGGCGAACGGGUGAGUAACACGUGAGUAACCUGCCCUUAACUCUGGGAUAAGCCUGGGAAACUGGGUCUAAUACCGGAUAUGACUCCUCAUCGCAUGGUGGGGGGUGGAAAGCUUUAUUGUGGUUUUGGAUGGACUCGCGGCCUAUCAGCUUGUUGGUGAGGUAAUGGCUUACCAAGGCGACGACGGGUAGCCGGCCUGAGAGGGUGACCGGCCACACUGGGACUGAGACACGGCCCAGACUCCUACGGGAGGCAGCAGUGGGGAAUAUUGCACAAUGGGCGCAAGCCUGAUGCAGCGACGCCGCGUGAGGGAUGACGGCCUUCGGGUUGUAAACCUCUUCAG